RNAcentral lists this long non-coding RNA (2165 nucleotides) under Callithrix jacchus (white-tufted-ear marmoset). Its description in RNAcentral is "lncRNA (ENSCJAG00000074140.1)". The record is from RNAcentral. Lineage: Eukaryota; Metazoa; Chordata; Mammalia; Primates; Cebidae.
CACCUGAGGUUACGGGUUCGAGGUCAGCCUGGUCAUCACGGGGAAAACCCACCUCAUUUAAAAAAAAGAGAAAAAGAAAAAGAAAAGAAAUCAGAAAGACCAGUGUGUACAAUUUUAGAAAACGAGGUGCUGGAUGACUCCAUUCCAUGACCUGUCUUUCUUUAUGACGCAGUGUUUUCCUCUUAUCACUCAGGCUGAAGUGCAAUGGUGCGAUCUUGGCUUAUUGCAAAAUCUGCUUCCUUGGUUCAAGCGAUUGUCAUGCCACAGCCUCCAAAAUAGCUGGGACUGCAGGUGUCUACACCACCAUGUCCAGCUAAGGAAGCAGGUUUUGCUUUGUCGUUCAAGCCCUGUAUCGAACAUGUGACCUCACGAUCCACUCACCUCGGCCUUCCAAAUUGCUUGGAUUACAGGCGUGAUUGACUGAGCCCAACCUAAGUUUUGCUUUCAUUUUAAAGACAAGGUUUCACCAUGUUGGUCGGGCCAGUCUCAAACCCACAAUCAUGGGUGACCCACCUGCCUUGGACUUCAAAGCGCUUGGAUGAGAAACUCACGUGAGCCACCGAGCCCAGCAGGCCGACUUUAUUGUUAAAAAAUUAAUCAGAGAGACUGGGUCCAGUGUGACUCACACCAACAAUCUCCAGAGGUCACAAGUUCGAGGUCAGCCUGGGAAUCCUGGGGAAAACUCACCUCAUUUUGGAAAAAGGAAAAAGUACACAGGAGGCGGCUCCAGAAGAUGGUGCAGUAGGAGCAACUCAGGAUUGCAGCUCUCAGUGAAUGCACAGAGGCCUGCCAUUGCCAAAGCAAACCUCCAUUACAGAGAGGUUUUGCCAAUACAGAGGCAGGCCACCAUAAUCACACCCAUAUAAACAGGACUACAAAGAAUUACACCCGGAAGCAAAGCAGAUCCCACAACAACAGGGAGGAGCCUAUGACAGUAGGGGAGAGCCCACAGCAAAAAGGCAGAGCUCACAACAGCAGGGCGGAGCCCACAGCAGCAGGGAGGAGCCAACAGCAGCAGGGCAAAGCCCACAGAAACAAGGCGGACACCACGGCAGCAGGGCAGAGCCUCAGCAGGCAAAUAGUGACUAGACUGCCUCCUAGCUGGGCAGGACAGUGCAACAGACACUUAUAAAGAAAGCCCUAACUCCCCAAGACAGAGCAUCUGAGAAAAAAAGGUUUGAUGAGUUCUGCUGCAGCAGACCUAAACGUACCUGCCUGACAUUCAGUGGGCAUUAUUCUGUAAAAAAGAUAGCAGAAGAAAGAACUGGUAGCAUCCCUCACAGUUCCACAGCUGCUACAAGUGUACCCCAGAGAGCAGUGCCUGGAGUGGACCUCAGCAGUCAUACAGCAGAGGGGCUAGACUGUUAGAAGGAAAACUAAGUAACAGAAAUACUCCAUCAUCAACAAUCUGGGCGUCCACUCAGAGACCCAAUCGAAAAGCCAGCAACUACUCAGAUGACAGGUGGAUAAACCCACAAAGAUGGGAAGAAAUUAUCGCAAAAAGGAGGAAAACACCCCAAACCAAAACACCUCGCCUCCUACAAAAAACUAAAACUCCUCACCAGCAAGGGAACAAAGCUGGACGGAGAAUGAGUGUGAUGAAAUAACGGAAUCAGACUUCAGAAGGUGGGUAAUGAGAAACUUCUGUGAGCUAAAGAAACAUGUUCUAAAUCAAUGAAAAGAAACUAAGAACCUUGAAAAAUAAUUGAAAAAAGAUUCAAGGAAAUGAUAACAAGAAUAAAUAACUUAGGGAGGAAUAUGAAUGAAUUGAAGGAGUUGAAAAACAACACGAGAACUUCACAAAGCAUGCACAAGUUUCAACAGCUGAAUUGACAAAGCAGAAAAAAGAAUAUCAGAAGUCAAAGAUCAACUCAAUGAAAUAAAACAAGAAACCAAGGUUAGAGAGAAAAGCACAAAAAGGAAUAAAUGAAGACUCCAAGAAAUGUGGGACUAUGUGAGGAGACCUAACCUACGCUUGAUACGUGUACCAGAAUGUGAUGAAAAGAAUGAAUACAAGCUGGAAAACACUCUUCAGGAUAUUACCCAGGAAAAUUUCCCCAAACUAGCAAGGCAGGCCAAUAUUCAAGUCCAGGAAAUACAGAGAACACCACAAAGAUAUUUCACAAGAAGAGCAACACCAAGGCACAUAAUCGUCAGAUUCACCA